GACUGGGGAGGGUAAAUAGUGGAGGUGCUGCAGAUUGGGCAGUGGUGAGAGUGGGGAUUUUUGGGAGGGAGAUUCGGAUCGUCGGAACUGAAAUGGCAGCUGCCCGGCAAGAAGAAGAAUAAAGUACCCCCUGAUUAUCAUGCUCUUCCCUUCAGUCCUCUCCUCGGACCUCUUUCGCAACCAAUCGGAAUUGUCUCCAAUCUAUCUCCCUUUCUCACAACCCAGAUAAACCGAUGCUCGGAAGAUUUCAACCCGUAGAAGACAAUGUGAAGGGAAGACGAAGAUGUGAAUGGUUAUUCUUCUUGUUCUUGUUUGUCCAUGGAGGAUGAUUGAUCUGCUGACUGCUAUGGCUCAAUACUGGAUAGGUGCUUGUUUAUGGAUCUGGAAUCAGAUUUGGAUUCAGCUUUUGGAGCUGCCCAAAUUCGCGUAUUGAUAUCGAGGACGAAAGAGGAAGUCGCCAUAUGAUAUCGUAGAUCUUUAAAUCUCCAGCUACACAACACAAUCAAUAAUCAUUUUU
Molecule: long non-coding RNA, 517 nt
Filed under: Linum usitatissimum (flax)
Lineage: Eukaryota; Viridiplantae; Streptophyta; Magnoliopsida; Malpighiales; Linaceae
Description: long non-coding RNA (LUSI_LNC003121)
Source: RNAcentral